UUUAAUUUGUACCCAUAUAUUAAUUUCUUUUUGUGCCCAUAUUUUUUAAAGUUUUAUUUGUAUUUGUACCCAUACUUUUUUUUUAAAUUUAUUUGUACCCUUCUUUUUUUUUUUUUGCCAAAUGUACCCAUGCUAAUUAUAUGUACCCAUUCAUGUAAUUUUUUCAAAUUUUUAAUCUUAAAAUGUACUCAUUCUUAAAUAUACCAAUUUGUUAUAUGUAAAAUGUACCAUUUUUUUUAUAUAAAAUCUAUUCAUGUUGUAAACAUUCCUAGUUUAAGUGUGAUUGUAUAAAUUCUAGAUUAGAUUUGAUUCUAGUUAUCAUUUUCUAUUGUAUUUUGUAUUCCUUGGGGAUGAAGGAAUAUCUUCUCUCCCUUUACUACUAUAAAUAAAGGCACAAUGUAGGAAGGAUAACAACACACACACAUUCCCCUACAAUUCUACAAACACAUCUCUCUCUUCUUCUUGCCACCGGCCAUCCUAAACUCGUCAAAUAAAAUAGACCACAACACGUUAUCAGCACGCUCCUACCGCUGCACUUAGGCAUCUGACGUUAGAGAAUUUUUCUACAUCAAACCAGUUCAUCCAUAUCACCACGCAAUCAGGUUCUUUCAAAACAACAGUUUUUAACUCGAUAUUUUUGCAGCCUUGAUAGCAUGAACAUUCACCAUGAUGCAUGACCCAACUUUACAUUUUAUGUAUUUUAGAUUCUACAUAAAUUGUGUAUGCCUCAUAACCAUAAUUGUUGAAAUUAUGUGAAUUUGAUAUUUACUAUGAAUUGAAUCAAAUAUAUUUGUAUAUGCAUCAAAUU
This 808-nucleotide long non-coding RNA is filed under the name Malus domestica (apple). RNAcentral's name for it is "long non-coding RNA (MDOM_LNC003906)". Lineage: Eukaryota; Viridiplantae; Streptophyta; Magnoliopsida; Rosales; Rosaceae. The record is from RNAcentral.